GACGAACGCUGGCGGCGUGCUUAACACAUGCAAGUCGAGCGGAAAGGCCCUUCGGGGUACUCGAGCGGCGAACGGGUGCGAAACACUUGAGUAACCUGCCCCAGCCUUUCGGAUAACCCUCGGAAACGGGGGCUAAUACCGGAUACGACACAGCAUCGCAUGUGGUCUGUAUGGAAAGAUUUUUGGAUUGGGAUGGGCUCGCGGCCUAUCAGCUUGUUGGUGGGGUGUUGGUGUACCAAGGCGACGACGGGUAGCCGGCCUGAGAGGGCGACCGGCCACACGGGGACUGAGCUACGGCCCAGAGUCCUACGGGAGGCAGCAGUGGGGAAUAUUGCACAAUGGGCGGAAGCCGGAUGCAGCGACGCCGCGUGCGGGAUGACGGCCUUCGGGUUGGAAACCUCUUUCAGCAGGGACGAAGCGUAAGUGACGGUACCUGCAGAAGAAGCGCCGGCCAACUACGUG
Molecule: ribosomal RNA, 462 nt
Filed under: uncultured bacterium
Lineage: Bacteria
Description: partial 16S ribosomal RNA
Rfam family: Bacterial small subunit ribosomal RNA
Source: RNAcentral